AUUGGGUGGUUUAUGAACAAAAACAAAAUGAUAUCAAUAUGUAUAUAAGUGUAGUAAAUACGAUAUUUAAUAUUUUUAAUAGAAGCGCAGGAUAAGAACUCGUGUUGCUUGAUUUUUAUCAGCGUAUUGUAGUAGUUUAACAUCUAACUCUUCGCUUCUUCAGUCUUGGGUAAUAAACGUUGCAUAUUUUUUGAAUUUCAGGUUAAAACAUUUGAAAAUUACUUUAACUAUCUACAUUACCACAGGUCUCGCUACACCUCUCCUUUCAAUAGCAUCACUGAAACAAUUCUCCUAAGUGAACAUGAAAAUCUAUCUUCGCAUUAUUUGAAAAUCAAAAUUUGACUUCAUUAAUUAUAAAUAUAUACAUAUGUUCAUGUAUUCAUAUGAAAUCAUUGCAUACCUAGUAAUGCAUGUUUGGUUGUUAAGAAUUUGCACACGCUGAUGGCAUCAAUAAAUUUGCUGAAAA
Non-coding RNA from Schizosaccharomyces pombe (fission yeast), 466 nucleotides. Lineage: Eukaryota; Fungi; Ascomycota; Schizosaccharomycetes; Schizosaccharomycetales; Schizosaccharomycetaceae. The record is from the annotation of a GenBank genome assembly.